AAGCAGGCUACUCGCUGAUACAUUAGCAUGGGAUAUAGAAUAGGACUUUGCAUCUAUUUGUGGUUUCUAGGAACAAAGUAAUGAUUAACAGGGACAGUUGGGGGCAUUCAUAUUUAAUUGUCAGAGGUGAACUUCUAGGAUUUCUUAAAGAUGAACUGCUGCGAAAGCGUUUGCCAAGGAUGUUUUCAUUAAUCAAGAACGAAAGUUAGGGGAUCGAAGACGAUCAGAUACCGUCGUAGUCUUAACCAUAAACUAUGCCGACCAGGGAUUGGAAGACGUUAAAUAUAUACGACUCCUCCAGCACCUUGUGAGAAAUCAUAAGUUUUUGGGUUCCGGGGGGAGUAUGGUCGCAAGGCUGAAACUUAAAGGAAUUGACGGAAGGGCACCACCAGGUGUGGAGCCUGCGGCUUAAUUUGACUCAACACGGGGAAACUUACCAGGUCCAGACACAGUUAGGAUUGACAGAUUGAGAGCUCUUUCUUGAUUCUGUGGGUGGUGGUGCAUGGCCGUUCUUAGUUGGUGGAGUGAUUUGUCUGCUUAAUUGCGAUAACGAACGAGACCUCAACCUGCUAAAUAGUUACGCCAGCCUUGUCCGCGCGACGCGCCUCCGGGUGCCCGUUCGGUGCUGUGCGGAAAUACUUCUUAGAGGGACUAUGUGUGUUGAGCACAUGGAAGUUUGAGGCAAUAACAGGUCUGUGAUGCCCUUAGAUGUUCUGGGCUGCACGCGCGCUACACUGAUUCAAUCAACGAGUUUUAUCCUGCACCGAUGGGUGUGGGUAAUCUUUUCAAAUUGAAUCGUGCUGGGGAUUGAUGCUUGCAAUUUUUCAUCAUGAACAAGGAAUACCUAGUAAACGCAAGUCAUCAGCUUGCGUUGAUUACGUCCCUGCCCUUUGUACACACCGCCCGUCGCUCCUACCGAUUGAAUGUUCCGGUGAAAUGAUAGGAUUCCUGCGUACGUGCCAGCAAUGGCAUAACGCGGGGAGAAUUCCUAAACCUAAGC
RNAcentral lists this ribosomal RNA (1000 nucleotides) under uncultured Breviata. RNAcentral's name for it is "bacterial SSU rRNA". It matches the Rfam family "Eukaryotic small subunit ribosomal RNA", at positions 778 to 1770 of the family's 1831-position model. The record is from RNAcentral. Lineage: Eukaryota; Breviatea.